UACGAGCCGAAUUAAGGUGAAACCGCGAAAGGCUCAUUAAAUCAGUUAUGGUUCCUUAGAUCGUACCCACAUUUACUUGGAUAACUGUGGUAAUUCUAGAGCUAAUACAUGCAAACAGAGCUCCGACCGGAGACGGAAGGAGUGCUUUUAUUAGAUCAAAACCAAUCGGCGUCGGUUCGUUCGCGGGCCGUUCGUCGCUCUCACUGGUGACUCUGAAUAACUUUACGCUGAUCGCACGGUCUCGCACCGGCGACGCAUCUUUCAAAUGUCUGCCUUAUCAACUGUCGAUGGUAGGUUCUGCGCCUACCAUGGUCGUAACGGGUAACGGGGAAUCAGGGUUCGAUUCCGGAGAGGGAGCCUGAGAAACGGCUACCACAUCCAAGGAAGGCAGCAGGCGCGCAAAUUACCCACUCCCGGCACGGGGAGGUAGUGACGAAAAAUAACGGUACGGGACUCAUCCGAGGCCCCGUAAUCGGAAUGAGUACACUUUAAAUCCUUUAACAAGUAUCAAUUGGAGGGCAAGUCUGGUGCCAGCAGCCGCGGUAACUCCAGCUCCAAUAGCGUAUAUUAAAGUUGUUGCGGUUAAAAAGCUCGUAGUUGAAUCUGUGUCCCGCGCUGUCGGUUCACCGUCCGCGGUGUUUAACUGGCACGCUCGCGGGACGUCCUGCCGGUGGGCUCGUUUCGUUCGGCGGCCGGCGACGGUCGUCGGGCGGCGGCCCGACUCACGAUCCUACCGCGGUGCUCUUCACUGAGUGUCGAGGUGGGCCGGCACGUUUACUUUGAACAAAUUAGAGUGCUCAAAGCAGGCCGAAAUCACGCCUGAAUAUUGUGUGCAUGGAAUAAUGGAACAGGACCUCGGUUCUAUUUUGUUGGUUUUCGGAAGCCCGAGGUAAUGAUUAAUAGGGACAGAUGGGGGCAUUCGUAUUGCGACGUUAGAGGUGAAAUUCUUGGAUCGUCGCAAGACGGACAGAAGCGAAAGCAUUUGCCAAAAAUGUUUUCAUUAAUCAAGAACGAAAGUCAGAGGUUCGAAGGCGAUCAGAUACCGCCCUAGUUCUGACCAUAAACGAUGCCAGCUAGCGAUCCGCUGACGUUCCUCCGAUGACUCGGCGGGCAGCUUCCGGGAAACCAAAGCUUUUGGGUUCCGGGGGAAGUAUGGUUGCAAAGCUGAAACUUAAAGGAAUUGACGGAAGGGCACCACCAGUAGUGGAGCCUGCGGUUUAAUUUGACUCAACACGGGAAACCUCACCAGGCCCAGACACCGGAAGGAUUGACAGAUUGAGAGCUCUUUCUUGAUUCGGUGGGUGGUGGUGCAUGGCCGUUCUUAGUUGGUGGAGCGAUCUGUCUUGGUUAAUUCCGGUAACGAACGAGACUCUAACCUGCUAACUAGGCGUAUCUUUCCGACAUCUAGAAGGCUCGCGUCGCCUGUCAGCCGUGGCGCGGGCGUGCGGUCGUCGGGCGUCGUUCGUCGUUCUCGCUCGUCGAGUGCGGCGUUCUGCGUCCGCGCCGUCGUCCCGUCCGGUCGGGCGUUCGCGGUUUUUACUGUCGGCGUACAAAUUAAUCUUCUUAGAGGGACAGGCGGUUCCUAGCCGCACGAGAUUGAGCAAUAACAGGUCUGUGAUGCCCUUAGAUGUUCUGGGCCGCACGCGCGCUACACUGAAGGAAUCAGCGUGUCCUCCCUGGCCGAGCGGUCCGGGUAACCCGCUGAAACUCCUUCGUGCUAGGGAUUGGGGCUUGCAAUUAUUCCCCAUGAACGAGGAAUUUCAAGUAAGCGCGAGUCAUAAGCUUGCGUUGAUUACGUCCCUGCCCUUUGUACACACCGCCCGUCGCUACUACCGAUUGAAUGAUUUAGUGAGGUCUUCAGACCGGUACGCGGCGGCGUUUCGACGUCCGCCGAUGUC
Molecule: ribosomal RNA, 1898 nt
Filed under: Neohydrocoptus grandis
Lineage: Eukaryota; Metazoa; Arthropoda; Insecta; Coleoptera; Noteridae
Description: SSU rRNA
Rfam family: Eukaryotic small subunit ribosomal RNA
Source: RNAcentral